GACGUAGGGUGCAAGCGUUGUCCGGAUUUAUUGGGCGUAAAGCGUGCGCAGGCGGUGAUGUAAGACAGAUGUGAAAUCCCCGGGCUCAACCUGGGAACUGCAUUUGUGACUGCAUCGCUGGAGUGCGGCAGAGGGGGAUGGAAUUCCGCGUGUAGCAGUGAAAUGCGUAGAUAUGCGGAGGAACACCGAUGGCGAAGGCAAUCCCCUGGGCCUGCACUGACGCUCAUGCACGAAAGCGUGGGGAGCGAAACACGGAUUGAG
This 261-nucleotide ribosomal RNA is filed under the name uncultured bacterium. RNAcentral's name for it is "partial 16S ribosomal RNA". It matches the Rfam family "Bacterial small subunit ribosomal RNA", at positions 524 to 783 of the family's 1533-position model. The record is from RNAcentral.